Molecule: ribosomal RNA, 447 nt
Filed under: uncultured bacterium
Lineage: Bacteria
Description: bacterial SSU rRNA
Rfam family: Bacterial small subunit ribosomal RNA
Source: RNAcentral
UGGGGAAUAUUGGACAAUGGGCGCAAGCCUGAUCCAGCCAUGCCGCGUGAGUGACGAAGGCCUUAGGGUUGUAAAGCUCUUUCGGCGGGGAAGAUAAUGACGGUACCCGCAGAAGAAGCCCCGGCUAACUCUGUGCCAGCAGCCGCGGUAAUACAGAGGGGGCAAGCGUUGUUCGGAAUCACUGGGCGUAAAGCGCACGUAGGUGGAUAGUUAAGUUCGGGGUGAAAUCCCAGGGCUCAACCCUGGAACUGCCUCGGAUACUGGCUAUCUCGAGUCCGGAAGAGGUGAGUGGAAUUCCUAGUGUAGAGGUGAAAUUCGUAGAUAUCGGGAGGAACACCUGAGGCGAAGGCGGGCUACUGGGCUGAUACUGACGCUGAGGCGCGAAAGCUAGGGGAGCAAACGGGAUUAGAUACCCCCGUAGUCCCUGAGCGGGCUGGCAAGGCGCAU